Molecule: transfer RNA, 85 nt
Filed under: Lentisphaerota bacterium
Lineage: Bacteria; Pseudomonadati; Lentisphaerota
Description: Lentisphaerae bacterium (feces metagenome) tRNA-Leu
Rfam family: tRNA
About the family: Transfer RNA (tRNA) molecules are approximately 80 nucleotides in length.
Source: RNAcentral
GCGCGGUUGGCGAAAUUGGCAAACGCUCUGGAUUUAGGUUCCAGCGCCGCAAGGCUUGCGGGUUCAAGUCCCGCACCGCGCACCA